RNAcentral lists this ribosomal RNA (253 nucleotides) under uncultured bacterium. RNAcentral describes it as "partial 16S ribosomal RNA". It matches the Rfam family "Bacterial small subunit ribosomal RNA", at positions 524 to 776 of the family's 1533-position model. The record is from RNAcentral.
UACGUAGGGUGCAAGCGUUAAUCGGAAUUACUGGGCGUAAAGCGUGCGCAGGCGGCGCGUUAAGACAGGUGUGAAAGCCCCGAGCUUAACUUGGGAAUUGCGCUUGUGACUGGCGUGCUGGAGUGUGGCAGAGGGAGGUGGAAUUCCGCGUGUAGCAGUGAAAUGCGUAGAGAUGCGGAGGAACACCGAUGGCGAAGGCAGCCCCCCGGGCUAAGACUGACGCUGAGGCACGAAAGCGUGGGGAGCAAACAGG